CAAGUACGCGGUCUUACAAAUGU
This 23-nucleotide non-coding RNA is filed under the name Arabidopsis thaliana (thale cress). The record is from RNAcentral. Lineage: Eukaryota; Viridiplantae; Streptophyta; Magnoliopsida; Brassicales; Brassicaceae.